GGAUCAGAAAACAAAACCAGGAUGACCAUAAAUGUUUCUUCUCCAAUUGGAUGAUGAUAAGACCGUGACACGGAAUGCCACCUUUAGUCUUGUGAUGAAGCAAAGCUCAGGAAGAAGUGUGAUUAAAUGGUACCCACAUGUGUGCUGCUGAGAAGGAUGUACAGGGGCACCUGCAGCCAAAUCCAAGCCUCCUCAGAGCAGAGCAGCAGUUUGUGCUCACAGAUGGUGACGGUGUGGAGAGACGGUGGUGUUUCCUCAGAAGAACCAGCAGAGUCACAAAGGGCACGAGUCCAUCUCACCACCUUGACUUGUUGAUCAGUGGAUACACUUGUCUCCCCUUUAAAGGAGACACUCUUAGAGAGCAACGAUCUGAGUCAUCCUUAAAUAUGGGCAGGAUAUCAGUCUUGGACUGUCUAACCUGCCGGAGCAGCACUGAAUGACCACCACACAUGAUCAGUUCCUGCAACAUUCAGCAGCUCUGCUUUUGUGUCAAAUGUCCAACAGCUGGAGAGGAAACUACACCAGUGUACUGGGAUGUUUCACCAACACGUGCCAGACGCUGUUCCUUCAUGGUGACAUCACUAGAGACGGCCCCGCCCACCUCAGGACCUCGCCAUUGAUCAUGAUGAUUUUAAUGAUGACAGCGAGCGAAACUAAGACUGUAAAAAUCAGAAUGUUUAGAUGCUUUCUAAUUAUUAAUGAAUACUGAGAGCCUCUUUCUGUUUUGUCUGUUUGUUUGUUUUUACCUGAUUUGUUACUAACAAAGUUCACCAAACUCACACAGUUUACAUUCUGUAUGUUUCCAUCUUUACCAGCCACAGGCUAACUGCAUUUAGAAAACAAACCUUAGAAAUCGUCGUUUUUCUCUUUUGUAAUUUUGUAAUUCAGUGAAUAUACUGCGCUGCUUCCUUUUAUUGUGUCUCACAUUGCUUUAAGUUUUUCAGUGUCCAGUUAUCUUUUACUGCUGUUUGAAUUCUCUGCAUGUUUGACCCUGUAGACUGUUUGAUGGACUGCUUGUCUGCCUGUUUGUAACCGACGCCUGUUUUUGACUAAAGAUUUGGAUUUCUGACUUUAA
This is a long non-coding RNA of Oreochromis aureus, 1075 nucleotides long. RefSeq lists it as uncharacterized. NCBI's taxonomy places the organism in Eukaryota, Metazoa, Chordata, Actinopteri, Cichliformes, Cichlidae. The record is from RefSeq and is a predicted model, not a curated record. The transcript is spliced from 4 exons.